Molecule: long non-coding RNA, 2917 nt
Filed under: Gallus gallus (chicken)
Lineage: Eukaryota; Metazoa; Chordata; Aves; Galliformes; Phasianidae
Description: long non-coding RNA NONGGAT002532
Source: RNAcentral
AAAAAAGAUUUGUUUAAACACCCAUAAGAACAGUCAAUUUGGGUCAGACAUGAAUAUAUGUUUUAACUGCUCAAGGAAAUAGUCACCAACAGCACCUUGAAAAAUGAGAUAAAUUUAUGUACAGAUCAAGAAACUUCAAGGGUAGGUGGGAAGCACAUCAUGAAGGUAUGAAUUUGUCAACUCUCUUCUUUUUGAGCAGCUUUAAAUUUUUCCUUGUUAACAUUAUUAUAAUUAUUUGUUACAAUUUUCCUAAAAGAAAAAACAUCCAAAUGUUUCCUAUUUUAUUAUCUAUUGUGGCUAAGAAAGCUUAAAGGUACUGAUAUCGGCCCACUUAAUUUAGCUGUUUAUUUUGUUACUUCCUACUUUCUCUAUAAUAUUGUCUUACUUGUCCGUACAUUACAAAGGCACACUGGAAACUAAGCUGAGGAAAAUUACACCCAUUUUCUGACCUGCUUGCUAAUACGAUGUUUACAUCGCUGACGUAAUGAGCAAACCCAUUAUCAUGAGCUUCAGCUGUUUACAACAGGUCUGAACUUUAUCGUUUUCUUUUUUGUAGCUCUGGCUGUGCAGAUUAAUGUAAUGAUGUAAGGUGUGUCAGAUGGCUUCCUUCUGCAGGCAGAGAACACCUCUGCAGCCGCUGUUAGCGCAGGCCUCCGGAGGUGCCUCACUGAAGGGACGGUACGUGGUCUAGGUGCAGUCGAAGCUUGAUGCUUCUGUGCCAUUCGCUGUCUCUACUGGUCCUGUCUGUUUCCUUGGCUUUGUACUUUGGGGUUAACAACAACAGAUGCUUAAUACUAGAGAACUAUAGUGUAACUGAUAAGACUGCUCAAUCUCUUUUCUAUCAAUCACAGCUUAUAUAUGCAGUUUAAAUUUGCCCAUAAAGAAGAUGGGGGAGGUACAAGCUCCUAGUCACAAGCUAGGCUGUUGCUGGCUACGUUUCUGUCACUAAAAAAGAAAGUCUAAUUCUUUGCACAUUUUCAACACAAAGGGUAGAGGCAACAGUUGGGUAAAACCUCUUUAAGGCUGGCAAUGAGAUUAUCCAUUUCCUAGGUGAGCUAAGUAGGUUAAGUGUCUUCAAAUACUCUAAACUGUCUCUCUCAUAUCCUGAAAGCUAUUAACACAUUGGAACAGCCUGCUUCUUUACAGGCUUAGGUCUGAAUGGCUAAAUGCUACACGGCAUUGCCUUACUUAAUCACAGCUGGUCCUCAGUCAUUACUUUGGUCUUACAGAUCUCUGACUUUUUCCUUAUGCUACAGAGGAAGCUCAGGCCCUCCACAUACAGAUCCAGCCAUCAUAAUGCCCAGCUAUAGACCAGUAUCUCAGUUCCUGCUGACAGUAUAAGCAGCUAUUCGUCAGCUGAUUUUAGCAGUCAUGAUUAUUCCAAAAAGUUCAAGAAGCCAUCCAAGACUCAGGCUUGCACUAGUAAAAAUGGCAAAGUAUUUUCAAGCUGAGUAUAAAAACACGUACAAGGACUUCAGAUUCUCCAGUGACACGUUCCAAGUCCUGAAAAAUAGCAUUUACUUUUUCAUUUACUUCACUCCAUUUCACAUUAGAGAACAUAAUGAUAAGCACAAUUGUUUUAAUAAUCUGUUACCUAAACCACAGCGAAACAGAAGGUGCUUUGGGAAAUAACAGUCGCUCUGAAAAACUGAAAAACUUUAAAUAAGGAGCAGCCAGACUGGACUGGAUCCUUUCAGAGAAAGUACUUUGGGACAGAAAAUGACAAAAGGGAAUAUACUUUGCUGGUGCAUUUGGCCUAGCUUGCUUGGGCUUACUUCUGUUCUCAUAAUGCUAGGCAUCAAAGUGAUGGUGUGUUUUUCCUUUUUCCUUAACACUGUUAUUGAAAUAAAGGGUUUGAAACACAGCUUUUUCAGAGAGCAGGCAGAUAAGUCUCCCCGCCCUCCCCAAACAUAUUCACACACUUUCCAGAUAGAAUGCACUUGUAGCAUUCACCCUUCAUUCCUAUCUGGGAAAAUAAUGUCGGCUCAUUUUUUCACUCAUCUGAAAGGGCCCGUAGUCCCCAGCGUCCUGCUCAGGAGUUCUGGGAAGCAAGUGUAAGUUAUGGUGCUACCGCUGCUCAAUUUAAUAGCUUCUGCUGCAAGCCAUAUCAUAAGCAUGUAGGUAUACACAAAUUACUCCUAAAUAUAUGCAGUUAAAGAAGUGGUAAGAGUCCCAUAAAAAUUACCUAACAUAAUCUAUUUAAUUUCACAAAGUUCUCAUUUUGUGGUGUGGAAGAGAAUCCACAUUAACAGGCAGUUACAAAUAACGGCUGUGACGGAGGAGCAAAACCUUUCCCAACAGCAGCAGUGCAUGUGGGUAGUGUGCACUCAGCAAGGAGAUGCAGCAUACCUGAAGUCUUGGAGCAGUGCUUUUAGGUAGGAAAAAAGGGCUACAAGGGUUCUUCUGCUAACAGAACAGGAAGUCCCUUAUCUUCUAAAGCUGCGUGACUCCAUGCUUAAUUGCAGGCUCCAGGCAGAUACGAAACAUGCCUUGCUCAAAUGAAUUACUUGAGCCUGUACAAGCAAUUUCAGGACCUACGGCAUAGAAGCCAGAUGAGACAAUCUAACCCUCAACUCUUUGAAUAAAAGACAAAUAAGUGAAAGAAGAAGAUGAGCAGAGGCCAAGACAGUGAUGAUUUAGUGAAGCACAACAUUAAAAGAACAGGAAAAAAAAAGAAAGUUUACCAAUAAGAAAUCACUUCUGGUUUGAUGGUGACCCUUCCCUAAGGGAUCAUCCUUCUUGGUGCCCUCACAUCACUCCCAAAGUCCAGUAUUUAACACAAAAUUAGGGCUCCUGCGGCUCCUCCUCUUCCUUCAGCCUGCAGAAAGGUUGAUCAUAAAGGCACCCACCUAAUUCCAGUUCUCCCAGUUGUGGGGUAAUCAGCUCAUUAUGCCGAUGACAGAAAACUGUAAUAUAU